AUGCUCCCUCUGCACCAGCAAGAUCACUCUCUUGAAAACUCUCUAAUUCUUAGGUAUGAACAUACGCUUUCUAAACUUAAUCAGUACUACAAACAAAGGAGUAAGAAGGGUUGGGUCAAAGAUGGUGACAGGAAUACUAGGUUCUUUCAUCAAGCUGUGCUCAAGAGAAGGAAAAGAAAUACUAUAUGCUCUAUUAAGGAUGAGAAUGAUGUUACCCAUUUUAAACCUAGUCUCAUUGCUAAUACUUUUGUUAAUUAUUUUAGCAAUGUUGGAAGACCUUUUCUUGGUACUCAUUUGCCAGAAAAUUCUGAGGAUCUAACUUAUUCCAUUCCAGACAAGAAUGAAAUUUUGCAGAUUUUAAAGGAUAUGAAGCUGAAUGCUUCACCUGGACCUGAUGGCUUUAAUGUGGAGUUCUAUCUUGCUACAUGGGAAUGGAUAGGAGAUGAAGUCACUCAAUUGGUGGUUAACUUCUAUAGAACAUGUAUACUACCACCUCACAUAAGUGAUACCAAUAUAGCUCUCAUUCCCAAAAACUUGUUCCUCAGGUUCCUAUGGACUAUAGACCCAUUAGUCUUUGUAAUGUGGUUUACAAAAUCAUUGCUAAAUCUCUAUCCAAUAGACUUAAGCCUCACCUUCCUGAUUAUAUUGAUCCUGCUCAGCAGGCAUUUAUUCAGGGUAGGAGGAUUAGUGAUAAUAUUAUUAUUGCUCAAGAGUUUGCCCAUACUUUUUCUCUUAAAUCUUGGAAAUAUCAUGCUUUCAUGCUCAAAAUUGAUCUUGCUAAGGCUUUUGAUCGGUUAG
RNAcentral lists this ribosomal RNA (798 nucleotides) under Triticum aestivum (bread wheat). RNAcentral's name for it is "partial small subunit ribosomal RNA". The record is from RNAcentral. Lineage: Eukaryota; Viridiplantae; Streptophyta; Magnoliopsida; Poales; Poaceae.